This 497-nucleotide ribosomal RNA is filed under the name uncultured bacterium. RNAcentral's name for it is "partial 16S ribosomal RNA". It matches the Rfam family "Bacterial small subunit ribosomal RNA", at positions 28 to 507 of the family's 1533-position model. The record is from RNAcentral.
GACGAACGCUGGCGGCGUGCCUAAUACAUGCAAGUUGAGCGAUGAAGAUUGGUGCUUGCACCAAUUUGAAGAGCAGCGAACGGGUGAGUAACGCGUGGGGAAUCUGCCUUUGAGCGGGGGACAACAUUUGGAAACGAAUGCUAAUACCGCAUAAUAACUUUAAACAUAAGUUUUAAGUUUGAAAGAUGCAAUUGCAUCACUCAAAGAUGAUCCCGCGUUGUAUUAGCUAGUUGGUGAGGUAAAGGCUCACCAAGGCGAUGAUACAUAGCCGACCUGAGAGGGUGAUCGGCCAAAUUGGGACUGAGACACGGCCCAAACUCCUACGGGAGGCAGCAGUAGGGAAUCUUCGGCAAUGGACGAAAGUCUGACCGAGCAACGCCGCGUGAGUGAAGAAGGUUUUCGGAUCGUAAAACUCUGUUGGUAGAGAAGAACGUUGGUGAGAGUGGAAAGCUCAUCAAGUGACGUUAACUACCCAGAAAGGGACGGCUAACUACGUG